GAUGAACGCUAGCGGCAGGCCUAACACAUGCAAGUCGAGGGAGAGGUUACCUUCGGGUAACCAAAACCGGCGCACGGGUGCGUAACGCGUAUACAAUCUGCCUUUCACAUAGGGAUAGCCCGAAGAAAUUUGGAUUAAUACCUAAUGGUAUAUAAGAGCGGCAUCGUUUUUAUAUUAAAGCUACGGUGGUGAAAGAUGAGUAUGCGUUCUAUUAGCUAGUUGGAGAGGUAACGGCUCCCCAAGGCGACGAUAGAUAGGGGUUCUGAGAGGGAUGUCCCCCACACUGGUACUGAGAUACGGACCAGACUCCUACGGGAGGCAGCAGUGAGGAAUAUUGGACAAUGGUCGGAAGACUGAUCCAGCCAUGCCGCGUGCAGGAUGAAGGUCCUAUGGAUGGUAAACUGCUUUUGGAAGGGAAGAAUAAGGAGUACGUGUACUUUGAUGACGGUACCUUACGAAUAAGCAUCGGCUAACUCCGUG
This 480-nucleotide ribosomal RNA is filed under the name uncultured bacterium. Its description in RNAcentral is "partial 16S ribosomal RNA". It matches the Rfam family "Bacterial small subunit ribosomal RNA", at positions 28 to 507 of the family's 1533-position model. The record is from RNAcentral.